AUUUUAAUAGCUUAAUUUUUAAAGCUUGAUAUUGAAGAUAUCGUGAUAGUAUUUUUAUUUACUUUAGAAUA
This 71-nucleotide transfer RNA is filed under the name Aeneolamia contigua. RNAcentral describes it as "tRNA-Phe". The record is from RNAcentral. Lineage: Eukaryota; Metazoa; Arthropoda; Insecta; Hemiptera; Cercopidae.